UUUCUCGCUUCAGCAGUACUUGCACUAAAAUUAGAACGAGACAGAGAAGAUGGCCCUUGCAAGCAAGGAUGAUCUGAAAAUUCAUUAAGCAUUCCAUAUUUAA
Molecule: small nuclear RNA, 103 nt
Organism: Chionomys nivalis (European snow vole)
Lineage: Eukaryota; Metazoa; Chordata; Mammalia; Rodentia; Cricetidae
Source: RefSeq, a predicted model, not a curated record